GUGGCCCCAAGUCAGGCGAGAUCACCCGCC
This 30-nucleotide ribosomal RNA is filed under the name Globba sp. US:3540898. Its description in RNAcentral is "partial 26S ribosomal RNA". Lineage: Eukaryota; Viridiplantae; Streptophyta; Magnoliopsida; Zingiberales; Zingiberaceae. The record is from RNAcentral.